UAAUCAUUUGUCUAUUAAUUGUAGACUAGUAUGAAAGGCUACAUGAGAAUCAAACUGUCUCUUGUAAUAAAUCAAUUAAACUGAUCUUCCAGUACAAAAGCUGGAAUACCCAUAUAAGACCAGAAGACCCUGUGAAGCUUAAACUAAAUCAUUAAAACAAAUAAUGACUACUUUCAGUUGGGGCGACUUUGGAAAAAAACAAAACUUCCAAACACCAAUGAGCAAUCCCUCAUAUAAUGCAGGCCAACAAGCCUUAAUACGACCCAGUCUAACUGACAAUUGAACCAAGUUACUCCAGGGAUAACAGCGCUAUCUUCUUCAAGAGCCCAUAUCAAAAAGAAGGUUUACGACCUCGAUGUUGGAUCAGGACACCCAAAUGGUGUAGCCGCUAUUAAAGGUU
RNAcentral lists this ribosomal RNA (400 nucleotides) under Anilius scytale (false coral snake). RNAcentral describes it as "partial 16S ribosomal RNA". It matches the Rfam family "Bacterial large subunit ribosomal RNA", at positions 1962 to 2573 of the family's 2925-position model. Lineage: Eukaryota; Metazoa; Chordata; Lepidosauria; Squamata; Aniliidae. The record is from RNAcentral.